This 515-nucleotide ribosomal RNA is filed under the name uncultured bacterium. RNAcentral's name for it is "partial 16S ribosomal RNA". It matches the Rfam family "Bacterial small subunit ribosomal RNA", at positions 28 to 523 of the family's 1533-position model. The record is from RNAcentral.
GAUGAACGCUGGCGGCGUGCCUAAUACAUGCAAGUCGAGCGAAUGGAUUAAGAGCUUGCUCUUAUGAAGUUAGCGGCGGACGGGUGAGUAACACGUGGGUAACCUGCCCAUAAGACUGGGAUAACUCCGGGAAAGCGGGGAUCAUACCGGAUAACAUUUUGAAUCGCAUGGUUCGAAAUUGAAAGGCGUCUUCGGCCGUCACUUAUGGAUGGACCCGCGUUGCAUUAGCUAGUUGGUGAGGGAACGGCUCACCAAGGCAACGCUGCGUAGCCGACCUGGGAGGGUGAUCGGCCACACUGGGACUGGGACACGGCCCAGAAUCCUACGGGAGGCAGCAGUAGGGAAUCUUCCGCAAUGGACGAAAGUCUGACGGAGCAACGCCGCGUGAGUGAUGAAGGCUUUCGGGUCGUAAAACUCUGUUGUUAGGGAAGAACAAGUGCUAGUUGAAUAAGCUGGCACCUUGACGGUACCUAACCAGAAAGCCACGGCUAACUACGUGCCAGCCGCCGCCGUAA